CCUCCGUAGGUGAACCUGCGGAGGGAUCAUUACACAGUUCAUGCCCUCACCUGUAGAUCGCCCACCCUGUGUUAUUAUAUUUUGUUGCUUUGGCAGGCCGCACGCGUGGUCUACCGGCUCCAGCUGGUAAGUGCCUGCCAGAGGACCCCAAACUCUGAAUAUUUUAUUGUCUGAGUACUAUAUAAUAGUUUAAAACUUUCAACAACGGAUCUCUUGGUUCUG
This 222-nucleotide unclassified non-coding RNA is filed under the name plant metagenome. RNAcentral describes it as "partial contains small subunit ribosomal RNA, internal transcribed spacer 1, and 5.8S ribosomal RNA". The record is from RNAcentral.